This 293-nucleotide ribosomal RNA is filed under the name uncultured Hyphomicrobiales bacterium. RNAcentral describes it as "uncultured Rhizobiales bacterium partial 16S ribosomal RNA". It matches the Rfam family "Bacterial small subunit ribosomal RNA", at positions 37 to 358 of the family's 1533-position model. The record is from RNAcentral. Lineage: Bacteria; Pseudomonadati; Pseudomonadota; Alphaproteobacteria; Hyphomicrobiales.
UGGCGGCAGGUUUCAACAUGCAAGGGAAACGCCGUAGCAAUACGGAGCGGCAGACGGGAGAGUAACUUUGUGCGAACGUACCCUUUGGUUCGGAACAACCCAGGGAAACUUGGGCUAAUACCGGAUAAGCCCUUACGGGGAAAGAUUCAUCGCCGAAGGAUCGGCCCGCGUCUGAUUAGCUAGUUGGUGGGGUAAUGGCCCACCAAGGCGACGAUCAGUAGCUGGUCUGAGAGGAUGAUCAGCCUCACUGGGACUGAGACACGGCCCAGACUCCUACGGGAGGCAGCAGUGGG